Molecule: unclassified non-coding RNA, 261 nt
Filed under: uncultured Hypocreales
Lineage: Eukaryota; Fungi; Ascomycota; Sordariomycetes; Hypocreales
Description: sequence contains 5.8S rRNA gene, ITS2, 28S rRNA gene
Rfam family: 5.8S ribosomal RNA (bases 1-52)
Source: RNAcentral
AACGCACAUUGCGCCCACCAGUAUUCUGGUGGGCAUGCCUGUCUGAGCGUCAUUUCAACCCUCACACUCCUAGGGUGUGGUGUUGGGGAUCGGCCAAAGCCCGCAAGGGACGGCCGGCCCCUAAAUCUAGUGGCGGACCCGUUGUGGCCUCCUCUGCGAAGUAGUAAUAUUCCGCAUUAGAGAAGCAGCGAGCCCCUGCCGUAAAACCCCCAACUUUCUAAGGUUGACCUCAGAUCAGGUAGGAAUACCCGCUGAACUUAA